UGGGGAAUUGUUCGCAAUGGGCGCAAGCCUGACGACGCAACGCCGCGUGGAGGAUGAAGGUCUUCGGAUCGUAAACUCCUGUUGCCCGGGACGAAUGGCUCCGACCUAAUACGUCGGAGUGUGACGGUACCGGGUGAGGAAGCCCCGGCUAACUCUGUGCCAGCAGCCGCGGUAAUACAGAGGGGGCAAGCGUUGUUCGGAAUUACUGGGCGUAAAGGGCGCGUAGGCGGCCCGCUAAGUCGAACGUGAAAUCCCCGGGCUCAACCCGGGAACUGCGUCCGAUACUGGCGGGCUUGAAUCCGGGAGAGGGAUGCGGAAUUCCAGGUGUAGCGGUGAAAUGCGUAGAUAUCUGGAGGAACACCGGUGGCGAAGGCGGCAUCCUGGACCGGUAUUGACGCUGAGGCGCGAAAGCCAGGGGAGCAAACGGGAUUAGAUACCCAGGUAGUCCCUGAGCGGGCUGGCAAGGCGCAU
This 471-nucleotide ribosomal RNA is filed under the name uncultured bacterium. Its description in RNAcentral is "bacterial SSU rRNA". It matches the Rfam family "Bacterial small subunit ribosomal RNA", at positions 355 to 825 of the family's 1533-position model. The record is from RNAcentral.